This 156-nucleotide transfer RNA is filed under the name Anopheles quadriannulatus. RNAcentral's name for it is "tRNA tRNA-Tyr". It matches the Rfam family "tRNA". From Rfam's summary of the family: Transfer RNA (tRNA) molecules are approximately 80 nucleotides in length. Their secondary structure includes four short double-helical elements and three loops (D, anti-codon, and T loops). Lineage: Eukaryota; Metazoa; Arthropoda; Insecta; Diptera; Culicidae. The record is from RNAcentral.
CCUUCGAUAGCUCAGUUGGUAGAGCGGUGGACUGUAGCAACGAGCGUGGAAUGAUUGUGAGUUGGCAAUUGGUACCUGUAACUUAAAUGCCUCCGAUCAACCGUCUCCAAUGUAGUGGAAAUCCAUAGGUCACUGGUUCAAAUCCGGUUCGAAGGA